This 96-nucleotide transfer RNA is filed under the name Pseudogymnoascus sp. WSF 3629. It matches the Rfam family "tRNA". Rfam says of the family: Transfer RNA (tRNA) molecules are approximately 80 nucleotides in length. Their secondary structure includes four short double-helical elements and three loops (D, anti-codon, and T loops). Further hydrogen bonds mediate the characteristic L-shaped molecular structure. tRNAs have two regions of fundamental functional importance: the anti-codon, which is responsible for specific mRNA codon recognition, and the 3' end, to which the tRNAs corresponding amino acid is attached (by aminoacyl-tRNA synthetases). tRNAs cope with the degeneracy of the genetic code in two manners: having more than one tRNA (with a specific anti-codon) for a particular amino acid; and 'wobble' base-pairing, i.e. permitting non-standard base-pairing at the 3rd anti-codon position. Lineage: Eukaryota; Fungi; Ascomycota; Leotiomycetes; Thelebolales; Thelebolaceae. The record is from Rfam by way of RNAcentral.
GGGGAUAUGGUUUAGUGGUAUAAUGCUUCUUUAGCACUUGAGUUUGGUACUCUGGUAAUAUAGAAGAGGUCCGGCGUUCGAUUCGCCGUUUCUCCA